Molecule: ribosomal RNA, 485 nt
Filed under: Bacillaceae bacterium
Lineage: Bacteria; Bacillati; Bacillota; Bacilli; Caryophanales; Bacillaceae
Description: bacterial SSU rRNA
Rfam family: Bacterial small subunit ribosomal RNA
Source: RNAcentral
UGCAAGUCGAGCGAAUGGAUUAGAGAGCUUGCUCUUAUGAAGUUAGCGGCGGACGGGUGAGUAACACGUGGGUAACCUGCCCAUAAGACUGGGAUAACUCCGGGAAACCGGGGCUAAUACCGGAUAAUAUUUUGAACUGCAUGGUUCGAAAUUGAAAGGCGGCUUCGGCUGUCACUUAUGGAUGGACCCGCGUCGCAUUAGCUAGUUGGUGAGGUAACGGCUCACCAAGGCAACGAUGCGUAGCCGACCUGAGAGGGUGAUCGGCCACACUGGGACUGAGACACGGCCCAGACUCCUACGGGAGGCAGCAGUAGGGAAUCUUCCGCAAUGGACGAAAGUCUGACGGAGCAACGCCGCGUGAGUGAUGAAGGCUUUCGGGUCGUAAAACUCUGUUGUUAGGGAAGAACAAGUGCUAGUUGAAUAAGCUGGCACCUUGACGGUACCUAACCAGAAAGCCACGGCUAACUACGUGCCAGCAGCCGNNG